UCUCCGUUGGUGAACCAGCGGAGGGAUCAUUACAGAGUUGCAAAACUCCCAAACCCUUGUAAACGUUACCUAUCCCGUUGCUUCGGCGGGCGGCCCGGGCCCCGCGCCCGGCGCCCCCCGGCCCCCCGUGGGCGCCCGCCGGAGGUAAACCAAACCCUUGAAUUGCAUGGCCUCUCUGAGUCUUCUGUACUGAAUAAGUCAAAACUUUCAACAACGGAUCUCUUGGUUCUG
This 231-nucleotide unclassified non-coding RNA is filed under the name plant metagenome. RNAcentral describes it as "partial contains small subunit ribosomal RNA, internal transcribed spacer 1, and 5.8S ribosomal RNA". The record is from RNAcentral.